This 346-nucleotide long non-coding RNA is filed under the name Homo sapiens (human). Its description in RNAcentral is "non-protein coding lnc-GALNT13-3:1". The record is from RNAcentral. Lineage: Eukaryota; Metazoa; Chordata; Mammalia; Primates; Hominidae.
CAGGGCUGCCUCAUAGCCUGCAGCUGGCUCCUCCCAAAGCAAGUGGUCCAGGAGAGAAUGAGACUGCACUCAAGAAGGAAGCUAUGGUGUUUUCACAAUCUAAUCUCAGAAGUGGCAUCCCAGAAUUUCUGCCAUACUCUAUUCUUUUGAAGCAAAGUAUUCAGUCCAGCCUGCAGGCAGGGGGACCAUGUGACUACCAGGAGGUGAGGAGCACUAAGAAGUAUAUAUGUUUUUAUGAAGAUCCAUAACUCUGUAAAUGGAUAAGGGUGUGCAACAAUUGGGAAUGCUGAGCAAGGCUUUGCCCCUAUAUCCCUAUGCACUUCUGUUGGAAGAAUGUUCAAGCCUC